RNAcentral lists this long non-coding RNA (17481 nucleotides) under Gossypium barbadense (sea-island cotton). RNAcentral describes it as "long non-coding RNA (GBAR_LNC006173)". Lineage: Eukaryota; Viridiplantae; Streptophyta; Magnoliopsida; Malvales; Malvaceae. The record is from RNAcentral.
AUAAAAACACUUCAAGAAGAAUUAAGUCUUUCCAAAAAGAACUAUAAAAACGUUUCUAUAGGUACGAAGGCGACGUGCGGUGUACAGAGGCGAGAGGCGCUGGAGGUUGUACAUGGGGGCUGUUGGCUGCGGCGCAAAGGGGAAACCUUAGGGUUUUUGUGAGUGUUUGAUUUUGGACCUGUUGAGCCAUAUAUUUUUGGGCUAGGGUUUUGGUUAUUAUUAUUUUUGGGUUUUGUAGUUGUGAAAUUGGGACUGUUUAUUGUACUUCAGUAUUUGGUUUUUUUUUGUAUUGAUUUUUUGGUUGUUGGGCCCAGGCAAAUUGGGCCUAUUACAUUAUUAAAUCUCAAUAUUAAAAAUUACACCAAAAAAAAUAUAAAGUUAAAAUUUGGUAGUAACUUCUCUUAGGACUUAUGGGCGAUGAGGGUAGCCAAAUCCUUUGGAGUAUUUGAUUUUAUUUGUUUGUUUAUUAGAAUUGAAAUAUAAUAAUAAGAGUUAAUUUACUAUUGUUUGAUAUAUUAUAUUAUUUUUUAACAUUAAUCUUAUUAUAGGGUCUUAUCAUAUAUGCUAACGCUUUGAACUAUCAAUAGAACCUCCUCGACCCUUAAAUAAGAGGAUAAUGCACUUUAAUCCACUCGAACCCAUGUUCUCUUGCACUGAUAACAAUGUUAAUCCCAAUCUAAUUAAGACUCAAUCGGUAUCAAAUCUCAAUCUUAGAUCUCCUCAUGGGACUUACCCUUUAGGUAUUUGAUUUUGUUUAUUUGUUUGUUUCUUAAUGCAUUAUAUUAUUCAUAUGGUGUUAUUCAUAGUAAUAGAGUUAAAUAAUAGUAAUAGAGUUAAUUUGUUGUUUCAAAUGUAUUAUAUUAUUUAUAUGCUCUAAAAUAAUAUGAUGUGUUAUAUUAUUAUUGAGUGUUUAAAAUAUGAUAUUUUAAGAUAUUUUAAUUUAAAUUAUACUUUUUUUAUUUGAUUUCAUUAAUUUGAUGAUGAUUUAGAUUAUAAAUACUUACUUUUGUUUGAUAUCACGAUAUUAUUAAUCUUGAGAAUCAAUUAUUAUAAAUCAAUUAAAAUAAUUAUUAUAAUUUUUAAAAUUUAAAAGUUAUUAUUUUAUAACUAUGAUGAUGACUUUGUUAAUUGCAUAAAAUGUAAAUAUAUAAUAAUUUAAUAUAUAAAAUUUUUUAUAUUUAAAAAAUAAAUUAUUUAAAAUUGGGUCCCAAUUGAAUUGAAAAAAUAGUAAAUAUUCAUUCUUUUGAUGAAGUUAUAUUAUUUGAAUGCUUUUGCCGUUUUAUAUUUGAAGUUAUAUUUUAUAAAUGAUGAACUGAAGUGCAGACUCCGCUACUCGUUUAAAUUCCUCGCACGCUUUGACAUGUGAUUAAACCUUCUAACAACGGUGCCUUGGAUUCCAUCCCAAAGUUGUCAACUAAAAUUUAAUACAUAUUAAUUGCCACUUUUCAAAACAUUUCAUCAUAUAUUGAAUUAGAAGUUAAAAAUUUAACCAUCAUUCAUGUUCUCAACUUAUAUCCCAUGUACACUCCCUAACAUCUCAUAUCUAACUUAGACGACAAGGUCAAGCCUGGAGAGUUAUAAUGAACGAUAAUCAAUUACAUUUUGCAAUUCAUAAUAACAUGCCUUUAAAAUCUAAUAAAGUUUUAACAAAGACAAACCAGUGUCUCGAGAUUAUUUUCCUACUAAUUGAAACUACGAAAAUAAUUAACAUGAUUCAUAAUACUAAACGAUAUAAACACAUAACCGAGCUCCCCAUCCGUCGACCCGAUCAAGUCUGUGAUUUACUUGAAAUUCAUUCAGCAAUAACUAAAUUAAUAUACAGGAAAGGACACAACUAUUUACAUAUUCAAUAGAUUAUUGGUAAAACCAAGAUAUCCAAGUCCAGAUGUUGAUCCAGAAUCAAGAAACAGUUCAUUCAGUUACAGAUCAGAGUCAUAAGACGGAUAACAGAUCAAGCUAUAAUUAGAUGUACAACAGAACAUAAUAGAUACAAUUACUUAAUACCAACCACUAUACACCAUCUUCAACCAACCCAACAAACCAAAUAAGGUAUUCAUUACCCAUCCAACCCUACACAUCACUCAGUGUCGGUUUGACACAUUUCAAAAAUUGUAGGCUAGCUGCCAGAUUAGUACACGGAUACUAAGGAUUUAACCACUGGUUCAGUACGGAAUGCUUCCUACUUAUUCAAUUCCCGUCCACUGGUUCUAUACAAAUAUUCAAAUACAACUCAUACUCGUAUGUAGUAGAUCAAUUCUAGAAAAAUUAGUUAAACACAAUACACACACUGAUAAAUAAUACUCAAGUUCCAAAUCACAUAAUAUCAGUUUAUACAGUUAAAUUCAGUUCAAAACAAAAGGCUUGUAUUUAGUUUGAGCAAUGCUAGGAAUAUGAUGAAAUUUCGUAAACUAGCCUAGACGCUCGUGUGGCCCCACAUGACCUAGGUAGCUAGCCCGUGUCGCCCCACACAGCCUAACAUACGACCGUGUCCUCCCAUGUGAACCCUACACUAACAUCGCCAUACACGGUCUGGACACACGCCCGUGUCCCUUGCCUGUGUGGCUCCUACUUGGCAGAUAGUGAGUUAUACUGCCUACCACACGACCUAUCACACGGCCGUGUGGUAGCUACACGGUCUAUCACACAGCCAAACGGCGUCAAAAGCCAUGUUUUUCGGAGUUAAAAAUUAGUAAAACUUGGGUUUUUAGUGCGUAGCUGAAAUAGUUUCAAAGUAGAAGACUCCCGAGACCUAAAACGAACAGCCCACCAACAAUUAAGCAAUAAUUCAAAACAAACAUUAACAUUAUCAUACCAUUAACUUCAUCGAAUAAUUUCGACACAAGAAAAUCCUAAAUCGCGUAGUAAUUACGUGCGCACUACCACAAAUCACGAAUCUAGGGCGUUAAAGAGACCGUUAUCUUCGAGAUCUUCCCCUAAACAACAAUCGAACAUAUAGUCAAAAGGGUUCGAGCAAUUUACGCAAACGUUACUCGGCACGGAAGACAACAAUCGAUGUUUUCCCAAGUUAGACGAUUUAACACAGUAAUUUAACAGAAAACAAACUUACUCGAAAAUGGUAGUAGACAAAACGGUGAAUCUAAGCAGCAAUUGAAUAACAAAAAGGAAAAAAAAUAAAGGGAAAGAGACGAAAAAGAAGAAGGGAAAAAAGAAAAUAGGAAAGUAGAAAGGAGAGGGAACGUUUAAUUUAAUUUAACCACCGAUCAAAAUUCUGACAUGAAGCAAAAAAUAUUACCCACCGCAUACACCGAGACUCGAACACAAGACUAAUAGAAUACGAAAGCUUAACUAGUUUAUCAGCAAAGUCAUUCGUGAUAUAGGUUAACACUGAAUUAAACUUAGGCUGAUGGCUCAGGAAUAAAGGUUAGCUUAAAUUAAAAUAAUAAAACUUUCUAAAAUACAACUCAAACUCCUAAACUCGAACACAUAAACAGAGCGCUUAACCACAGAUACAAAUAUUUAAUUACUUUAGAACCCAACGCUUAAACACUCAAAAUUUUUUGGGCGUUACACACUAAUAUUUAAAUGAUAGUUAAAAAAUUAUUCAUAAGUGAUAGAUAUAAUGAUAAGGCAUAUUAUUUUCAAAGAUAAAUAAUUGAAGUUCGAACUUUAUAUAUAAUAUUAUUGUAAGAGACAGUCAUGAAUUUCAAAAGAAUUAUGAACUGUAAAACGGAGAUAAAAGAUACUUUCAUUAUAUAAAAAAGAUAAAAAAUUUCAACCAUAAACCAAUUCAAGAUAAGUAAAUUAUAUUUUCUUAAAAAUAAAAGUAAAAAGUUAGAAAUUAUUUAGUAAAAUUGACAACUUCAAAAACAAUAUUUAAUUAUUAUACUAUUUAUAAGUGUUAAAAUAUAAAGUUAAUAUUUAAUCAAAUACAUGUAAAGAAAAAUCAAGUUUUUAUAAAAAUAUUUAAAAUAUUAAAAUUGAUAUAAAGUUAUAAAAAAUUUUAAAAAAUUAUAAAAAACUUGAACUGGAUCGAUUAGUCCAAAAUCAGCAAGGGAAUUGAUUCAGGGAAAGCCAUUAGACUGGUUGACCUGAGAACCGGAUGGUUGAAUCUAGGGGUGAGUAUUCGAUCGAGUUGAAUCGAAUCGAGUAAAAAAUCUUCGAGUUAGUCGAGUUAACAAAUUAUAUUUUAGCAACCAAACUCAAUUUGAAUUUUUUUCGAAUCGAAUCGAAUCGAGUAAAAAAAAAUUGAGUCAAAUCGAGUCGAGUUAACUAAUCUUAUUAUUUAUACUUAAUGUUGUAUUUAGAUGGACUAAUUAUUUAACUAGUAGACGAAGUACAAUAUUAUUUAACUACAUGAACAAUAUAAUGAUUUUGCCUUUUAACUUAAUGGGUAAAUAUUUAUCAAAACGACGUAGUUUUACCUUUUAACUUAAUUAUUUUGAAUUUUAACUUUUAAAAAAGUAAACAUUAUCAAAACGAUGUAGUUUUGUCUUUUCUUAUUCGAAUUUUCGGAUAACUCAAAUUGUGUAAUUCAUAUUCAAGUUAAAAAAAAAACUUAAUUUUUUAUUCGAGUUUAUCCGAAUAACUUGAUUAACUUAAAUAACUCGAACUAUUUAAUUCAAAAUUUAAAUUUUUUAUCGAGUUUCUCAAAUCGAAUCGGAUUUUGCUCACCCCUAGUUGAAUUAAUUUUUUAAUAUUUUUAUCAAACCAAAAUUUCAUUAUCCAACUAUUAGCAUAUGUAAGAAUGAAAUAUUCUAACAAAGGUGUUCAGAACCAAACCGGUGGUUGAACUGGUCAAGCCAUCGGUUUACCAAUUUGACUGAUUUUUCCAGUUCAAUUAAAUAAAACAUUCAAAAAUAAAAAAUAAAAAAAACCGUCCUAGAUCAAUUGGUCUAAUGACUUUCUCCGAACCGAUAUCCUUAUCAUUUCGGUCUAAUCGGUCCAUUAAAAAGUAUUGAAUUGUGUUACUUCCAUUCUUUACCUCUAAUAUUGUAUAAAAAAUUGUUUUUAUCUAUUUUACUUUAUUUUAAAUAUAGUAAAAAAAUUAUAAAUAACACGAAUGCAAUCCAUUAAAAAGUUAAAUAGAAGUAAUCAAUUGAUCGCCGGUGAAAAAAGUUGAAUACUACAAGCUGGAAUAAGUAAAAGGAAAAUGGUGAAGAAAGUCAAAUACGUUAGAUUAGAUGAUAACUUCACCCACAGAAAUGUGGGUAUAUUAAGAUAGCAAGUGGGACAGCUUAGAGUCAGCAUCAUGCUGCUCGAAAUGCUUGGUGGUAGUGUAGUGGAAACUCUGUCGGUAUGCUCAGGUCAAGUGCAGGAAUUGGCGUUUAAGGAACUAAUUUCUUUCUCUCUUCAUUAACUUUGAACAUUGACUCAAUAAUCCAAAAUUCCAAAUUGGUUUAAUAACUGACAAAUAUUUAAUAACUAAAGUAUCUACAUAAUUUAUCAUACGUUGACUUUUUCCAAAUAAAUGAAAAAAAAUAAUUUAAAUACUAGGUUAUGGGGAUAUAUAUAUUUAAAUGAAUAAUAAUUUUCUAAAAAUAAGUAGUAGUUUAAAAAAUAUGUAAGGUCUUGUUUGAUAAUCCGUUUAAAAAUUUAGUAUUUAAUUUUUUUAAUACUCAAAUUUUCAGAUUAUCAAACAAUACCUAACUUAAAUAAAUAAUGAUUUUUUAAAAAGAAUAGUCAUUAAUAUUUUUUAAACAUUUUGAUAUAAGUUAAAAGUCACAAAUACCUGUUUUAUAUGCAUUACUAACUUAUGAAAAAUGAUUUUUAAGUUUUUUUUAAUUGAUUUGAUAUUUGAUUAACUCAUGAUACUAACUUAACAAUGAUUUUCAUAUAGCAUAAAUAUUGUUAUAACAAUUAACUUAUACAAAGUGUUGAGGUAGACUAUAAUCGCGGUUCACACCAUAUGUGGUGUAGAGAAUCACUGAGGAUGAAAGCUUAAAAUGGUGUUUUAGCAAAAUGAUGUUUUAGCAAAAUGAUGGCUAAUGACCAAUGGUUGAUCUCUUCUAUUGUAUGAAUAUUGCUCCCACCACCUCUCUCUCUUUCUCUCUCUUUAUGUGUCAUGUUCCUUUGAUCUUGAAAAAAAUGAGUGUUUACAGGACAAAGAUAGUUUAGAGUAGAUUUUACGUAUCAUGAUUACCUUUUUAGUAGAGUUUGAUAUAGACCCAAGUUAGAGUAUGACUUGGAUGUAUCCCAAUAUGGGGUUGGUAAGCUUAUCUUAUGUGACCAAUAUUCUUGAUGGUGUUAUGGCAAUAUUCUCUUAGUAGUGCAUGGGUGUCUAAGUGUAGGAGGUAUAACAAUUGUCCCCCUCAACAAUCGAAGAGAAGUUUAUAAAAUGAGCUUCUCUAAUAAUGGGUGUAAUCUUUUUAAGUAAUGUCAUUUGAACUAAUUGUAACGCCCUAAUUUUCGGGAAUUCUAUGAAUGUUGGCAUAAGUUUAAUUAUGUUAGUGGGCCUCUAGAAGGCCCAAGCUUAAGAUAGAACCCGACAAUUUUAGUUAAUUUUUGUUCCAUAAGAAAAAGGGGGUGAAAUUAUGAAAUAGAACCUAUGUGAAAAUGUUUGAAAAUGCUAUAGGCUAAAUUGAAGUGGCCAAAUAAAUAGGAGUGCAAAAUAGGAGGAUUUGCAUGACAAACCUCCCAUUUUACAUGAAGUGGCCAGCCAUCAUGUUGUUAUAGACAAUAUGAGCACUUGAUAUCCAUAAUUCAUGGUACAAAUUGAUAAUGGGUUAGGUAAAUGUUCCAUGAUAAUGAAUUAGGUAAAUAUUCCAUGAUAAUGGGUUAGGUAAAUAUUCCAUGAUAAUGGUUUAGGUAAAUGUUCCAUGAUGGGCAUUUCAUGUCUUUUGUAUUAAAGAAUUAAAUGGAUGAAAUAUGAAAUUUUAUUAAAAGAAAAAGGGGUGAAAAGAACAAAGUUUUGUCCAUCUUUGUUCAUCAUAGCCGAAAGUUAGAUAAGAGAAAGGAGAGGAGAAAGCUCUUGAGUAUUCGGUCACUAGGAGGAGGAAAAUUGAAGGUAAGUUCUUGGUACCUUGCUUCUAUUUUGAGUUUCAUGAGUUCUUCUUGAUUCUACCUUAACUCUUGAAGCAUAUUUUGGUUUUUAGUUGUGUUGUGAGCAUUUAGUCAUGAAUUAAAAUGAAGGAAAUGGUUGUUGUUUCAUGUUCUUUUGAUGAAAAAUGGAAGAUAGGUGAAGUUGAGCCAAACAAAUGAGCAUGCAUGUGCCUUAGAUGCUAAAGGGAAAAAUCGGCUAACAUGUUGUGCUUUAAAAUGAUGAAAUGGAGAUUAUAAUUAAGUAAAAUCAUAGAUAUGUGAUGAUUGAUUGGUGAUAUACAUGUUUAAAUAAGAUACAUGCAAGGUAUGUGUGAAAGAGUGAUUUGGUAAUAAAUCUGCUUGGGACAGCAGCAGUAACGUGACUUUGGAAAAUCACCAUAAAUUGUGGGAGAUGAAUUAGAAGCUGAAUAAAUUAUGUAAUUAAAUAUUAUUGAGUCUAGUUUCAAAUGAAAUAAACGAGAACAUAUUUUGAAUUCUUUACAAUGAGAAAUUUGAUUCGUAAUGAAGAGUGGUCAGAUUAGUCAAACAGUGAAACAUGGGAAACUUUGAGAAAAAUCUGGUAUUGAUUGGCUAAACCAAAAAUUCUGAAAAUUUUAUGGAUAGAAGAUAUAUGAGUCUAUUUUCAGAGAAAAUUAACGGCACUUGAUUUGGAAUUUCGUAGCUCCAGUUAUAAAUGAUUUAGUGACUGUUGCUCAGGAAGACAGCUUGCAGUGAAAUUAUGAUUAUGUGGUAAACAUUGACAAAAAAUUGUUAAUGAGUUGCUUAUUGAUUUCUUAUAAGCUUACUAUGAUCUGUAGGUGUGGUUGGCCGAAUAUUGUAAGGGGUUAAUACGUAGUUUGUAUUUGAAUAGUUAGAUUAACGUGUUAGUAAUCAAAUUGUAGGUAGUUCGUGUGUAGAUCUCGUCAGCAUAUCGUCGCAAACAGGUGUGUAACUAACACCCUCUUUCUUAGUCUGGAUCGGCAAAAAGUCGAAAAGCCGAAAUACCGAAAACCGGUAUUUUGUAGAUUUGCGAGUGUGCGAAUGCUCGUGAGGUAAAUCGAUUAAUGUUUUUGGUAAGCUGCAAAAUUUGGAUUGCAAAGUGCAUGAUUUCUGUGCCCUCGAUAUUUUUGGGCUUAAUGGGCCAAAAUUGGAAUGAUGGGCCAACGAGCCCAAUUCAGUAAGAACCCUCGGUACGUGAUUCUGUUAGUACGUGAAAAGUAGGAAUAUGCAUGAAAAACCCUAAAAUAGAUAAAUUACUAAAAUACCUUUAAAAGUGGAAAAUUUACAAUUUUACCCCUAAUAGAUAAAUUACCGAAAUACCCCUAGGGUUAAAUUGACCUAAAUGCAUGUUUGACUGUUGUUAUUUACUGCAUGCCAUGUUGUUAUUAUCUGAUGCAUGGGAUUGGGAUAUUGAUGGAGGAAGUACUGAAAGUGACUUGUCCACGUACUAGAGGCUUUGCCUCAAUUUACUGUUAACUGAGCAGCAAGGCUGCAACUGUGGAGUGUUGGGCUGGGUGGGUUGAGCUAUUCCCCACAUGGAGUGUAGGGCUGGUUCGGGUGGAGUGUAGUGGUUGGUGGGUUGAGUAGUCUCCCCAAAUGGGCUUGCAUAUGUUAUUAAUGUUGCAUGUAUUUUGAAAUGGGCCUAUGGGCCAUACUGUUAUCUGAAUAAGGGGCUAAGGCCCAGUUUAUUGUAAUCUGAAAAGGGCUCUGGUCUAGUACCACUGUUACCUGAAUGGGCUUAGGCCCAAUAGGCUUGAGCUGACUUGGGCUUUGAAUGGGUUUUCCUUACACACUGAGUUUCCCCAAACUCACCCCUUUUAUUUUCAUUCACGCAGGAAAUCCCCAACCAUAGUGGGCUUGGAGCUGUGAGGGAAUUCGGAGUGGCCACCCGUUCUGAAAGUUUGAUUUUCUUCUGGUGAACUGGACAUCCUUUUAUUUACGUUUGAAGUUUUGGGUUUUUAAAUGUAAUAAGGCCGCUUAAUUAUUUUUGAUGGUUUUAAUAUGUAUUACUAAGAUAGUUAUUACUUAUUUUAACUGUUGAAAUUGGAUAGCUUUAGGGCGCGUUUUCAAAAACAACAAUUGAUUUCAAAAUAACACGACAACAAGCAAAGCUUCUGCAAUGAAAGUAUUUUCCAAAAUUAAUCACUUUUCUUAAAAAUGACUUAAUCAAAUCGGUUUCCUAGAAAUAUCCAUGACGUUAAGGUGUGGCAAUGGUGGUAUGCAUGUCUAGGAUUGGAUCCGAAGGGAGCUUGGUACUUAAGCAGUCCGAUGGACUCACCACCUCUUUUUCGGUUUCCUACCUGGUGCACAGCUUCCAUUCACUUUAACCUAUAAUGAAAUUAUCUUUUAAAACACUAAGUAAGUUUUUCUGGAUUAAUAAUAUAAAAUGUUUUGAACGCUUCGAUGUGGCAUGUCGGAUCCAGUCAUAACGUCUGGGCCGGGUUUGGGGUGUUACACUAAUCGAAUUGUGGUUAAUGUUUUUUUCAUUGAUUUUAUAAGGCAUAAAAUCGCAUCUUUAAAAAAUAUUUUUGACAUGGCAUCUCUUCAUUAUUUAACGAUUAUUUUGCUUGGGAAAACUUUUCUUUCAUUUUGUUAUCAUUUCAAUACUUAAACCUUUUCACUAUAAAUAAGGGCCUUAGGUCUUUUUUAAGGAGAACUUCACUUCAGCGAUUUUUGAGAAACAUCUAUUACUUCUUUAAGUUUCUUGUUUUUGGUGCUCUUUUUAUCUUUUAUUAGAGUACAGCAAUUUCCUUCCUUCUACAUUGGUAAAUUAUUUCUUUGUUGUUGUAUUAUUGCCUUUUGCGAGUUCUUGCCUUUAGGAAAGCUUUUUCUUUUUGCCUGUUAUUUAUUUAUAAAUCUUUCUUCAUAAUCAACAAUAGAAAGUUCAUUAAAAAAGGUUAGUAAGAGACAAUUGAAGACCCUAAACCCUAAACCCUAAACCAUAAACUCUAAACCAUAAACCCUAAACCCUAAAACCCUAAACUCUAAACACUAAAAUCAUAAACCAUAAACUCUAAACCAUAAACCUAAACCAUCUACCAAUGAUCGUAUUUCAUGUAUGGCCCUAGCAAUAGACAUGCUACGGGUUCUUCAAUUUAGGGGGAUUGUGGAUCCCCAUUAUAAAUAUAGUUUUUUUGUUAGAGACGACGUUCACCAAUUGAGCAACGUUGUUAGCAAUGAUAAGAGUGUUUUAUUUCCCCUAUACAUUUUUAAUUGGAUUUCCAUUUGCCAUCGUACCCAUGGUUCGUAGAGGUGCUCAACUCUUUUGGCAUGCCCCCAAGGCAAUUGACUAGGGGUUCAUGGUUUCGUUUGGUGGCAUACUUCCUAGAUUGACACAAGGAGAGGGGGGAGAGCCCCGCCUAGCAGCUUUUAAAACUUAUACUUCUUUCAAUUCUCUCACAAACUGGGUUAGCAGGGACUUUGCUAUUUCCAACAGCACAAGAAUGUGAACUCCCUAAUUUCUAGUAAGCUAAGCAAAUGGAACCAAGGGUUGGUUCAUCUAUGUAGAGGAUAAGCUAAGUGUAUUUCCUUUCCUUACGGAGUGGAAGGAACUUGGUACUAAAAAAUUGAGUGGUUGCCUAACUUGGAGGAUGACAUUGCUAAAGGUCAAUAUGAUUGCUACAAGCUAGGGUUUCACUCAUCCAUUGCUUAUUUGCUGAACUUAAACCUUAAUAAGGCACACUACCUUCAAAAGAGGAGCUCAAAUGGUGUGGCUCCAUUUGUCGACACCGAUAACUUCAUGGAUAGGUUGGAUGCCUUGACGUGGCCUACACAAUUUGAGGGUUGGCCAUUGUGAGCCACAAAUGAUGAUGGCUAGAUAAUUACAAGCAUGCUAGAAGAGCUUGAAGUUUUCUACAAAGUUGAGGAAGGUUUCCAAGAAACGAAAGAGAACCAAACACUUAGUUGCAAAGGUUUCCAGAAAGCAUAGGGCUGUUGAUCUUGUCACCCCAAGUCUCUAGAAAACAAAAGGUGGCCUACCAAUUCCACCUAGUUCAAUUACUGACAUUCCCUAAAAUGAGGAGGUUUGCCAAGUACCAACAAGUUUUUCUGUUAAUAAUUUUCCCAAUGAGGAGAAGGAUGAUUUAGAUAAGGAGAUUAAUAAUUAUAGGGACCUUGAGUCAAUGUCUUUUGCCAUUGUAGAGAACGUGGGUCCUUUAAUCAUUGAGGAAUUCUUUAGGACUGAGGAUUCCAAUAUGUAGUAAUAUUGUAAUUAUUGUGACAUAGUUAAGCUUUGUUUUUCAUGUACAUAUCAUUUUAUGUCUUUUUGACAGAUGGCAGUUAGUGGGUUUGACUAGUAUAACACUCUCCAAGAUUUGGAUAAGGAGGACAACUUAUUCGUAAAAAGGAAAAAGGUUGGCAGUGAGGUUGACACUACUCCUACAUUAACCAGGACAAUGCUAACUCUUACUCUAACAAUUACUCCCUUGGAUGUUGCUAUGCCUGCUAUUGCAACUCCUCAUAUCCUUGCUAUGCUGGUUGUUGACACUCCACCUUCAACUAUGCCUUUUUCUUAGUCACUACCUUGUUGGAAAAAUACAGUUUAGAAAAGUAUUUUUCACACAAUGAAAAUUUAACAUUUUGCUAAAAAUCAAGCCUUUGUGAUAUUUAUAGUUAUAAAUCAUUUACUUAAAUUGUACCUAUGUUUUCUAUAUAUGCGGAAUAAGUCAUUCCCAACUUUCAACCUUUCAAUUUUCUCCACUAUUCUCGACCUUGACCCGUUAGAGUGUGAGCUCUAUUCAUGAACUGAUGAACAUUAACAAAAACUUUCUAGGGUCAGAAACCGAUUACUCAAGAAAGAUAGAGUUAUUUGUGUAAAAUAAUUUUCAUUAUUUUCUGGCAGAGUAACCUCAUAGGUGAAUGGUGUAAUUUGACUUAGCCUAUAGUCUCUAUUUAUAAAGAAAAUAACAAAAGUCUUAAUUAACAAGGUGUAGCUAGAAAAAUAUUAUUUUAAUUGAAAACUCAUACUCCAUGUAGGAGUACAUAACAUAGGCGUCGACAACACCCUCUAGGUACCAUUAUUGGAAAAUCGAGUUUGAAAAAUGCAGCGAGAAAUAAGCUUAAGGGAAAAACCAGAGUUUUAAUUUUUUUUUCAAAAACAAGAACUUAGUUGUGAUAUCUAAAGUAAUAAGCACUUAAUCAAAUUUGUUCCUUUUUGAUUCGUCUAGGAUGAAUGCUUUGACCGAGUAAUCUUCUCUGCUAUCCUCAAGCUCAUGCUUGACGAGUGUAGGCUCGCUUCAAAUAAAUUUUUUUCCACAAAAUUACUAGUAGAGUAAAUUCACAAGUUCUCUAAAAUUCUAGGCCAAGUUGUAAAUAAGAAAAAUAUCUCUAGAAAUCUUCUGAAAUAAUUUCUUCAGAGAAUUUUCUCUCUACAACUUUCUCUUGAAUUCAAUCUGUGAAAAACAAUAACCAAGGCUCUAUUUAUAUAUGGAGAAUUUAAAGAGUUCAACUAAGAUCGAACUUAAUCAGUCUAAUAUUAAAUUAAUAUAAUACUUAUCAAGAUAGGUAUUAUAUUAAAUUUAAUAUUAAAUCUAUUAAAUUAAUAAAUAUUUAUCUACGAGAUAAAUAUUAAAUUAAAUUUAUUAAAAUAAUAUUAUUUUUAGAAUAGUUAAUUUGAAAUUAAAUUAUCCGGUAGAGUUCUAGUAAGAGUGUGCUUCUUCUACUGCUCAACUGUUGAAGACUAUUGCUGUCAAUCAUCCGUCGACCACCAAAAUAAUGCUGUCACAGUCAUCGGCAUUGCUGUGCUCGGUGGUGUCAUCAUAGGCACAACAAUCUCACAUCACCCUGAGCUAGUUCGGUCUGGGCCAUUGACGAAUCGACUGGUUCAAUCUAGCCACCGAUUGGAUUGUCGGACCGGUUUCACAUAUCGGGCCUAAUUCGACCAAUUUUAGGUCUCAAUCUCAAUUUUUUGUUCUCAAUUCUAACUUUCGAUCUCAACUCCAAUUUUCAAGUUCAAUUACCCAUUGGGCCAAUUGUAUGACUUGAAAAUUAAUUUCCAAAAAUAUCAUAUUUAUUUUAAUUAAUUUGAUUAAUUUAAUUUUUCUGAAUCAAAAUUAAUUUUUUAAAAAUCACUGAGAUUUUCCAAAAUUAUUUUUCAAGAAAAUUCUUUAAUCAAAUUCUCUAUUUAAGCAAUUCUCACAUCUGCCCAAUUUAAUUCCAUAUUGAAUAAAUCGACUUAAUUAAAUUAUUUCCAAAGUCGUAGAAUUUUAUUCUGAUUCAAAUACAAUUCGAUUUAGCUUUUGUUGAGCUAGCAGAGGGACUAAUCAGAUAUAUAUAGUUAGACUAUAGUAAUUGCAAUUAUGUUCAGAAGCAUCAUUCCGAUAAUUCACAAUUUACUUAAUCAUGGAGUCAGUCUACAAGAAGUACCAUACUUGAAAACUCUUUAUUGUUUACUCUUUACGAAAGCAAUUUAUCCAAAUGCUUUGUCUAAUGACCUCGUCAUGUGUAUGUUACGCUCAUAUGAUAUCCUUGAUUUCUUUGAGUUAAAUCCGUUCACUCAAUACAAUCUUAUUUUAUCUCAUUGUCACCAUUAUGUCUUCUAAAUAAUUAAUAUGAUCACUUUCAACAAAUGAUUGUGAUAAAUUCCUUAUUAGAGAACAAGCAACCUGUAGCGAGCUCCAUAUUUAUCAAUCCACACAAUGCCAAUGAGAGGAUACCGUUAACUCUUUAAUCGAUCUAUGAAUUCCAUCGUUUCUAGUAAAGCCAUGCCAUACACAAGUCAUGUACCUAACAUACCAACUAUGGGCUCGAUCAUCUUCAGAGCAUAAGCCUCCACUUAUAUCAAAACGCAUGAGUUGCAUACACAUGGUCAGUGGCUAACUCAGGAUUUAGGUAAAUCACACCAUGAAUGUCAAAAGUGAAUUAUUUCACAAAUGAAUUCAGAAUUGGUUCAAAUUGUGUCCAAUCUAAUGUAUUAUUCUUCCAAUGAUUACAUCUAUGUCUCUACUCCUGGAGUCAAAUGCUCUAAUAGCCAAGACUAGCCAUCUCCCUAAUUAGAAUUGUAGACGACAUAAUAAUCCUUCUAAGUAUUUGAAUCAAACGAUCACUUUGAUUCUUUUAUGAGAUUACGAACUCGUUUAUAUUAUCUACUGAAAUAAGUUGUUUUUUUUGCAAUGUAAACAUUCUUGCAGUGCCACUUAUGAUCAGUUUGAACUUAGAAAAUCUAUGAACUAAUAUUUUCUUGUCACAAAUUUGCUAUGUAUGCAAAACAUGAAAGAUAAACACAAAAGAUAUAACAGUGAAAUGUGAAAUUGACUUUAUUUCUUUAGAUAUCGUUCAAAUACAUAGAAAACAGUUACAUAUUUACUACAAUAUGGGCAAAUUUCCCAACAACCCUAGGGUUGCCGCCUCUUGCAGCCUAUUGGGUCUGUUUAGCAUAUCGGGUACAACUAUGUGUCGUUUGGCCUUUAAUCGACUCAUACAAUUUUACCAACUCAAAAAUUGAUUUUCUAUUCCCAAAAUAUUAAUUAAUUAAUUAAAUUAAUUAAAUUACUUCCUCAACCCAAUUCUAAUCUAGUUAAAAUCUUGAUGACUUUACUGUAUUUGAAUCCAUGAAUAAAUAAAUUUAUUUAACUAGUUAAUUUAAUUUCCACUUCAAACUUCAAUUAUAUAAUUACAAUCAAUUAAAUAAUAUUUUGAAGAAAUUAAUUUAAUCUCUAAAUCAUCUCUUAUGCAUAAAGAGAAAACGUAUUCAUCGCAGAUAGUGUUACAUACAAUCUAUUUGUAGUACCCCAAACCCGACCCAAACGUUAUGGCCAGAUUUUGAAGGUUAUAUUAAUAAAUCGAAACUUUGAUAAUUUGUUUUGAAAACGUAUUGGUGUGUCGUUGAAAGCACAAAAAAUAACCUAUCCCUAUGAAAUAACGAAAAAGAAUAGUAUGAGGGAAGUAGGGUCAAAUCUUCAGAGACUGGAUUUGCACAACUUCUUGUUCCUAGAGAUCCCGAGCACAGUCGUGCCCAAGAAAAAGCGACAUACCUGGAAAAAAAACAUAAUUAAAAAUAUGGAGGGGCUGAAAUCAUACAAAUUGAAAUCGAAAUUGUAAAGAGAAAUAGAAUUGAGAAAAGAGGUUCCUUGAUUGAGAGAUUCCAGCCUCCAGUUGUCUCAAUCCUCCUUGGUUUCAAUCCUCGGCUUUUAGGUGAUCCUUUUCAUGAUAAAAUAAGCUAGUUAUAGUGGAAGAGGAUGUCUAUGACCACUAGCUACACUUAGAUUUUAUCCAUACGAUUUAAAGGAACCUGACUCUAACCAACCGUCACUUUUGUGGGAUCGUCUUACACUAGAUCAUCACUUCUCGAUGGCGAAUGCCACGCCAUCUUGUCUUUUGGGCUCGACAAUCACUGAUGCAGUAAGCUAACGAACCGACUGUGCAACUUUCCCAAAACAUACAAAGCGGUCGCCUUUGCACAAGAUGAAAAGAUCACUUUUGGAAGGACAUGGACGGAAGUGUUAGUCCUGUAAUGUGGAUAAACGAUGAAUACUCUUUGAGAAGGCUAAGUGCGGACUCUAAGCCUCAUGAACCUUUUUUAGGGAAUCUCGACAACCUUUGGCUAAAUGAGUUUAGUGGCUCAUGCUUUUUGGGAAAAAAGAAAUAAGUUUAAUCAAAUGGAAUUUUAUUGAAUAAUAAAAGGAACAAAAGCUAAGAGCUUUAGGGAGACAAAGUUUUUAUAAAAAAAAUGGGUUCAUAUUUAUGCCACUCCAUCCCCUAUUUAUAGUACAUAGAAAAUCUAGUUUGUUCCUAUUUAAACUCUAAAAGAUAAAUAAAGAUAAAAGCUGAAAUUAAAUCUAAAUAAUUAUCCCAACAAUAAUCCUAAUAAAAUUCAAAUUUAAAUAAAGUCUUAUGUUUAUAAAUCUCUUCUUUGAAUUUUUGCCCCCAAUUCUUUCACACUUUGUAUUUUUGGCAUCAUUUCUUUCCUAUUUAGUAUGUUGGCCCAUUUUAUCUUUAAAUUCACACUUUUUUGCCCCAAAUUUCCUUUUUCCUUUAAUUUAGUCCCUACAAGAUAAAAAACCAUAAAAAGCACAAAUUAGUAGGAUCAUACUCAAAGUAAAUAUGUAAUUAAUACAUAAAAACAUGUCAUUUCAGAGUAUUAUCAUGUAUCUUAUUUUGAAAUCAAAAAUCAAAAAUUUUAUAAAACUUGCUUUAUUCCUUUGGUAAGAAUAUUUGUCAAAAGAAAGGCGUGUGUGAAGAUUUUGAAAUGUUGUCUUAUACAACUCAAUUUAUUUAAAAACAUCAUGCUAUCGACUUUAUUUACUUGUUUUUGAAAAAACGUGAAUUUCGGUUAAAACUUUGUAGUGGAGAGUUUCUUAGGCUUGUUUAACCAUGAAAAUCAGAGGUUAGUUUUUUAAUUGUUAGAAAACAUGUCAAAUUUUAGAACAAGUAAUUAAAAUACUUAACAAAUCCCAAAAACCAAAAUUAAAGCUCGAAAAAUAGUCCAAUUGUCCAAAAGUUCAUAAAACAUAAACUAAGAGUUAUUGAAUAAGUUUUAUAUAGAAAAACUGAACCAAGCUCCUAAACGCCAUCAAAUCCUAAGUCAAAGGGUUACCUGAAAAAUUAAACAAACAAAGUGAGCUAAAAAGCUCAGUGUGUGCCUUGACCCAUAAGUAAAAUCACAUAACAGAAUCAUGGUUAGAUGCAUAUAUCAAAUCAAACAGACCAGAAAUUUCAAAAUGCUUAGUGUAAGUACCCAAAUUUACCCUGGCCCAACACCAUUAACCAGCCCAAACAAUUAAAAAAUAUAUAUAUAAAAACAAAAAAAACCAAAUAAUUAAAUGUCCACUGUCCCUUAUUACAUCAGCCCAAAUCUGCCAAAAUAAACAAGCCCGAAACAAAACUAACCCUAAGGCCCAAACAGCCCAAAAACUAAAACAAAUUCAGUCAAAACCCUAGCCCCUAUUUGCCUCGCGCCGCUCCCCCACGUACGGCCUCCAUUGCACCUCCGUACGCCAGCGCACUGCCUCCAUACACGCGCCACGCACACCACAUACCUGCAAAAAGGGACAAACACAAAACAAAAAAGGAAAAAGAAAAAAAGAUUGUAUUUUUUUGGUUUUCAUUAUUCGACUAUAAAGCCUUUUUUAUUUUUGGUUGUAAGGGCUCCCUCUUUUACACACACACAUACUGAAUAGAAAAAAAUGAUUCAAAAAUUUUAAAGGUGAUUUCUGACUCGAGUUUUCUGGGUUUUUUUAAGUUAGCUUUUAGAUUAUUUCUUUUUGGGUCUUUUAUUUUCGCAUUUGAAAACAAAAGGAAAAGGGAAAGAGAAAUCUUACCUUACGAAAACUCCAUGGGUUUCCUUUCACUUUGUUGAAAUCAAGGCUGAGAGGGAAUCCUAAGGCUAAAAUGAUCGCUAGAGCUCGAAUACAUUGGUCGCCUACUGUGGUGGUGGAUCGGUGUUUGAGUAAAAGAGGAUUAGUGUUCGGCCGAAUAGGGAAUAAGGUGUUUAUGUUUUUUUUUUUACUUUUGUUCCUAAAUGGCUAAGUGUAUUAGUUAGGGUUUGUUUUGGUGUUAAUAAUGUAU